This 691-nucleotide ribosomal RNA is filed under the name uncultured bacterium. Its description in RNAcentral is "bacterial SSU rRNA". It matches the Rfam family "Bacterial small subunit ribosomal RNA", at positions 9 to 740 of the family's 1533-position model. The record is from RNAcentral.
GAGUUUGAUCCUGGCUCAGGAUGAACGCUGGCGGUAUGCUUUACACAUGCAAGUCGUACGAGAGUUUUUAACUCAAGUGGCGGACGGGUGAGUAACGCGUAAGAAUUUACCUUUAGGAGGGGGAUAACAACUGGAAACGGUUGCUAAUACCCCAUAUGCUUUCGAGUGAAAUGGAGUUUUCCGCCUAAAGAGAAGCUUGCGGCUGAUUAGCUUGUUGGUGAGGUAACGGCUUACCAAGGCGACGAUCAGUAUCUGGUUUGAGAGGACGAUCAGACACACUGGAACUGAGACACGGUCCAGACUCCUACGGGAGGCAGCAGUGGGGAAUUUUCCGCAAUGGGCGAAAGCCUGACGGAGCAAUACCGCGUGAGGGAUGACGGCCUAUGGGUUGUAAACCUCUUUUUUCAGGGAGGAAUCAAUGACGUGUACCUGAAGAAUAAGCAUCGGCUAACUCCGUGCCAGCAGCCGCGGUAAGACGGAGGAUGCAAGUGUUAUCCGGAAUCACUGGGCGUAAAGCGUCUGUAGGUGGUUUAAUAAGUCAACUGUUAAAUCUUGAGGCUCAACUUCAAAAUCGCAGUCGAAACUAUUAGACUAGAGUAUAGUAGGGGUAAAGGGAAUUUCCAGUGGAGCGGUGAAAUGCGUAGAGAUCGGAAAGAACACCGAUGGCGAAAGCACUUUACUGGGCUAUUAC